Molecule: ribosomal RNA, 265 nt
Filed under: uncultured bacterium
Lineage: Bacteria
Description: partial 16S ribosomal RNA
Rfam family: Bacterial small subunit ribosomal RNA
Source: RNAcentral
UCGAGAAUCUUCGUCAAUGGGCGCAAGCCUGAACGAGCGACGCCGCGUGCGGGAUGAAGGCCUUCGGGUUGUAAACCGCUGUCAGUGGGGAGGAAGGCUCCGUGAAGAGCGGGGUUUGACCUAUCCGCAGAGGAAGUACGGGCUAAGUUCGUGCCAGCAGCCGCGGUAACACGAACCGUACAAACGUUAUUCGGAAUUACUGGGCUUAAAGGGUGCGUAGGCGGCUCAGAAAGUUGGGUGUGAAAUCCCUCGGCUCAACCGAGGA